Symphalangus syndactylus (siamang) is the source of this 712-nucleotide long non-coding RNA. RefSeq lists it as uncharacterized. The record is from RefSeq and is a predicted model, not a curated record. NCBI's taxonomy places the organism in Eukaryota, Metazoa, Chordata, Mammalia, Primates, Hylobatidae.
GUGCUGGUGCCACUUCCGACUCCUCUUUAACUCCCGCCCCUUAGAAGCUGAGGGCCCGGAAGUACCCUCCCCGGAAGUGAAAUUGGAGGCGGAAACAGCCACGGAAAGCGGUGGUAGUAGCUUCUGACCUUUCUGAACCGUCUGGGACCCUUUGGUGGGGUGGUAGUUUUUGUAUUGGGAAGGAGCGUCGGCGUGUUUCUAACCUCCAGGAAUACCUCCUUCCUCUAUGCACUGCUCUGGGCUAAGCUGGAGGCUCUGAGGCCCAGGCCCUAGGAACUAGAACAUAUGCCCAUUGCUUGUAUUUUACAAUAUUAAUUUUGCAAAACUAGAACUAUAAGGCAAUGGUUGAGUCACAGUGCGGUAUCAUCCGUGCCUUUGUAGGGCGCUUCUCAUAAGCUGGAGGCUAUCUGCCUCUGUACUUCAAUAAAUCAAAGACCAACUAGUACCUAAAAACAUGGCAAAGAAUGUGGCAUACAUAAUGUGCAUUAGAAAUGCUUCUGCCAGCUGCAACGCGUAAUUACAAGGGGAGAAAGAGACACCAGAGCAUGAUGUCUCCCUCUAUACCAAAAAGGCCAUGUAAUGACACAGUGAGAAGGUGGCCAUCUACAAGCCUGGAAGAGAGGCCUCACAAGAAUCCAAAUCUCUCAACACCUUGAUUUUGGACCUCUAGACUCUGGAACUGUGAGAAAAUAAAUUUACGCUGUUUAAGCCA